Molecule: ribosomal RNA, 492 nt
Filed under: uncultured bacterium
Lineage: Bacteria
Description: partial 16S ribosomal RNA
Rfam family: Bacterial small subunit ribosomal RNA
Source: RNAcentral
AGUGAACGCUGGCGGUAGGCCUAACACAUGCAAGUCGAACGGCAGCACAGUAAGAGCUUGCUCUUACGGGUGGCGAGUGGCGGACGGGUGAGGAAUACAUCGGAAUCUACUUUUUCGUGGGGGAUAACGUAGGGAAACUUACGCUAAUACCGCAUACGACCUACGGGUGAAAGCAGGGGAUCUUCGGACCUUGCGCGAUUGAAUGAGCCGAUGUCGGAUUAGCUAGUUGGCGGGGUAAAGGCCCACCAAGGCGACGAUCCGUAGCUGGUCUGAGAGGAUGAACAGGCAAAAUUGAAAUGAGAAAAGGUCCAGAAUCCUAAGGGAGGCAGGAGGGGGGAAAAUUUGACAAAGGGCGCAAGCCUGAUCCAGCCAUAACGGGUGGGGGAAGAAGGCCUUCGGGUUGUAAAACCCUUUUGGUGGGAAAGAAAAGCAACAGGUUAAAAACCCGGUGGUCUGAAGGUAACCAAGGAAUAAACAACGGCCAAAUUCGUG